Molecule: small RNA, 685 nt
Filed under: Pongo abelii (Sumatran orangutan)
Lineage: Eukaryota; Metazoa; Chordata; Mammalia; Primates; Hominidae
Description: retained intron
Source: RNAcentral
UUGAGCUGGACGAAGACACCACCAGAUUUCAUAGUGUCACUCCUCUCAUGCUUUCAACACCAGCCCUGACAGCCACCUUCUGGCCCUGAGGGUGAGGCGCUCAGGCAAAUUCUGGUCAACCGUUACUAUGGAAACAUCAGACCUUCGGGAAGAAGAGAGAGCCUUACCAGCUUUGGCAAUGGCCCACUGUCACCAGGAGGACCCAGCAAGCCCGGGGGAGGAGGGGGAGGUUCCGGAUCCAGCUCUAUGAGCAGGGGUGAGAUGAGUCUGGCCGAGGUUCAGUGUCACCUUGACAAGGAGGGGGCUUCCAAUCUAGUUAUCGACCUCAUCAUGAACGCAUCCAGUGACCGAGUGUUCCAUGAAAGCAUUCUCCUGGCCAUUGCCCUUCUGGAAGGAGGCAACACCACCAUCCAGGUAGGAAGGCAGCUUGGCUGCUGGUGUGGCAUCUCUGCUGAGCAGGAGGAGAGUCUGUUCUGGGAGCCAGAUGCCUGGGUGGUACCAAGACUUGUUUGGGAGACAGCUCAUUCUGAGGGCACAAAAUUCUGUUUUGAAAAAUGAGUUCUACUAGUAUCCUGCUGUGAUCAUUUCAUCAUAAAUCAGACUUGGUUCCAGAACAUGAGUUACAUUUGAAAACUGAUGAAACGCUGAGAAUAUGCAAAGGAAACUGGCCUAAGAUCUAGGACAU